RNAcentral lists this ribosomal RNA (181 nucleotides) under uncultured bacterium. RNAcentral describes it as "partial 16S ribosomal RNA". It matches the Rfam family "Bacterial small subunit ribosomal RNA", at positions 1318 to 1500 of the family's 1533-position model. The record is from RNAcentral.
GCAUGAAGUCGGAAUUGCUAGUAAUCGCGGAUCAGCAUGCCGCGGUGAAUACGUUCCCGGGCCUUGUACACACCGCCCGUCACACCAUGGGAGUUGGGAAUACCCGAAGCCUGUGAGCUAACGAAAGAGGCAGCAGUCGAAGGUAGAAUCAAUGAUUGGGGUGAAGUCGUAACAAGGUACC